RNAcentral lists this ribosomal RNA (491 nucleotides) under uncultured bacterium. Its description in RNAcentral is "bacterial SSU rRNA". It matches the Rfam family "Bacterial small subunit ribosomal RNA", at positions 21 to 507 of the family's 1533-position model. The record is from RNAcentral.
GGCUCAGAUUGAACGCUGGCGGCAUGCCUUACACAUGCAAGUCGAACGGCAGCACGGGAGCAAUCCUGGUGGCGAGUGGCGAACGGGUGAGUAAAGUAUCGGAACGUACCUUUCAGUGGGGGAUAACGUAGCGAAAGUUACGCUAAUACCGCAUAUUCUGUGAGCAGGAAAGCAGGGGAUCGCAAGACCUUGCGCUGAUUGAGCGGCCGAUAUCAGAUUAGCUAGUUGGUGGGGUAAAGGCCUACCAAGGCGACGAUCUGUAGCGGGUCUGAGAGGAUGAUCCGCCACACUGGAACUGAGACACGGUCCAGACUCCUACGGGAGGCAGCAGUGGGGAAUUUUGGACAAUGGGGGCAACCCUGAUCCAGCCAUGCCGCGUGAGUGAAGAAGGCCUUCGGGUUGUAAAGCUCUUUCAGCCGGAAAGAAAUCGCGCAGGAUAAUACUCUGCGUGGAUGACGGUACCGGAAGAAGAAGCACCGGCUAACUACGUG